UACAGAGGGUGCGAGCGUUAAUCGGAAUUACUGGGCGUAAAGCGUGUGUAGACGGUUAUUUAAGUCGGGUGUGAAAGCCCCGGGCUCAACCUGGGAAUUGCAUUCGAGACUGAAUAGCUAGGGUACGGUAGAGGGAAGUGGAAUUUCCGGUGUAGCGGUGAAAUGCGUAGAUAUCGGAAGGAACAUCAGUGGCGAAAGCGACUUCCUGGACCAGUACCGACGUUCAGGCACGAAAGCGUGGGGAGCAAACAGG
RNAcentral lists this ribosomal RNA (253 nucleotides) under uncultured bacterium. Its description in RNAcentral is "partial 16S ribosomal RNA". It matches the Rfam family "Bacterial small subunit ribosomal RNA", at positions 524 to 776 of the family's 1533-position model. The record is from RNAcentral.